UGGUAAAAAAAAAAAAAACCCAAACAUGACUUAUUCAGAAUUGUAACCGUCACUAUCUAAAAGAUCUGUUCUUCCAUCAUGCUGUUGACAAGCUGCAUACAGAGCAGUUCUUUGACUUCGUCAGAUCUGUAUGGAAAGUGAUGAGGCUUUGAUGCGUUACUUGUCUGCGUCUGAGAGCUGAACGGGUAAACAGGACCGCAGCGGCAGCAGCAGCAGCAGCAGCAGCAGAAGAAGACGAAGAAGACUAGUAAAGUUCAGUGGGCGGGGGAGACAGGAAGAUGUCACCAGGUAAGGAAACAGUGACGAGGGGAUGGGUAGAGUGAGUGUGAGGACAGAGAGAAAGAAAGAGGGAGAGUCACACCUUGAGGAAGUUAACCAAAUAAUAGAAGGAGAACAAAAGACGCAUCAUACCGAAGGAUGGGACUCGUGCAAUGUUUUAUGAUAGUCUUGAUGUUAUCUGCACAGUCGGUGUUCACCUUCCCGUCGGUAACAAAGCCCUUUCUCUUCAUCUUAUCUGUAAUCUCACAGAAACAUUUUAUGUUGUUUGCUUUUCAAGAAUAAGACAGAGCAAAUGUGUAAAUUACGUCUGUUCAUGUGUGAACAAAUUAAUCAGGACUUUGCUGUUGUAUAGUUGUCUGUGUCUAAUUGUUCUGAUGUGUUGACAGGCCACUAUAAAAGGCAAGUGUGAAGAAAUGUGCCCACCAGGUACAUAUAAGAAGUCUUGUACAGAGUGUGUGUCCUGUCCCCUUGGAAGGUACACGACUGAGUGGAACGCAGAAGACGACUGCCAUAUCUGCUACCCAGACUGCAGACCAGAUUAUCGUCUGGUGGUGGUUCAGAGUUGCACCAACACGUCCGACGUGCAGUGCAGCUGUGAGGCUGGCUUUGAAUGCUCGGAGUGGGUUACUCUCUCAACACACUGCAAACGCUGCAGGAAGAUCCAGUCAACAACUGGUAAAUACGAAAACAGAUUCUCAAUUCUGUCAGAUAUGAACGGCCUCAGCCAGCAGGGGGCCUCGUGACAAAGAAAAUAAACUUCAGGAGUUUUCGC
RNAcentral lists this long non-coding RNA (1051 nucleotides) under Sparus aurata (gilthead seabream). RNAcentral's name for it is "lncRNA (ENSSAUG00010016584.1)". Lineage: Eukaryota; Metazoa; Chordata; Actinopteri; Spariformes; Sparidae. The record is from RNAcentral.